This 517-nucleotide ribosomal RNA is filed under the name Neonectria sp. nwa_besc_211c1. RNAcentral's name for it is "eukaryotic LSU rRNA". The stretch from base 140 to 293 matches the Rfam family "5.8S ribosomal RNA". Lineage: Eukaryota; Fungi; Ascomycota; Sordariomycetes; Hypocreales; Nectriaceae. The record is from RNAcentral.
UUACCGAGUUUUCAACUCCCAAACCCCUGUGAACAUACCAUACUGUUGCCUCGGCGGUGCCUGUUCCGACAGCCCGCCAGAGGACCCCAAACCCAAAUUUCUUUGAGACGUAUUCUGAGUAACCGAUUAAAUAAAUCAAAACUUUCAACAACGGAUCUCUUGGUUCUGGCAUCGAUGAAGAACGCAGCGAAAUGCGAUAAGUAAUGUGAAUUGCAGAAUUCAGUGAAUCAUCGAAUCUUUGAACGCACAUUGCGCCCGCUAGUAUUCUGGCGGGCAUGCCUGUUCGAGCGUCAUUUCAACCCUCAAGCCCCCGGGCUUGGUGUUGGGGAUCGGCGAGCCUCUGCGCCCGCCGUCCCCUAAAUUUAGUGGCGGUCACGUUGUAACUUCCUCUGCGUAGUAGCACACUUAGCACUGGGAAUCAGCGAGGCCACGCCGUAAAACACCCAACUUUAGAAUGUUUGACCUCGAAUCAGGUAGGACUACCCGCUGAACUUAAGCAUAUCAAUAGCCGGAGGAA